UAUGUAAAAAAAUUGUCGACGAUUAUUUUCAAGCUGCUUUCACACAUUACAGUUUAUUCAGCGAACUGUUUUUACUCCAUUGAUUUUUCUUUAACAGAACAGUCUUUUGCCUCGGGAUCCCGUCUCGUUACGAUAAUCUUUAAGGCUAGGAUUAGGGAGAUUAUUACAGACAUAUUUUUUUAUUUCCCUUCAUACAGGAAGUGGUUAACAGGUUGUAAAUUUCCUGUUCAUUUUAAAUAGGUCCGACGGACUCCUAAAUUGAUUAAGAAGAAUCAGCAUCCAAAGAGACUCUUCAGCUUUAAUGAGAAAACUUCAAGCAGGGCUUUUACAAGACGACCAGAGGGAUGGUAUCAGUGAAAGGCACUCAGUGUUCAGUUAUUAAUCUCCCGCCGCCGUUGGCCCUUUCAUAAAAGGAGGUUACUGCAGGAAGUCAAAAGUAUAUCUGAGUUUUCCAUCUUCAAUCCCUGUAGAGGUCACUGUUGCUUGGCACAGCUGAAAAACAACUGAAGCUCAAAAGGAAGGAACACACAUCCAGAUGGCAGACUCUUAACUGAGCUUGGAUUAAUGGGAGGACGGGCAAGAACUGCAUCAAACUCCUCUUAAGGACCUUUGAAGAACAACACUGCUAAUCGCUCAUAAGGACGCUGUAGAACAUGUUUGCUGGCCUCGGUGUUGGAAUGAUGGGACAGCAGAUGAAGAAGAAACCUGAGUGUGCUGAAGAUUUUAGGUUGAAAAUGAAACCAACCACUUUGUAUUCUCAGUUUUACCAGGUAAUAUCUUAAAUAUCCAAAACAACAACAUUUAUGAAAUAAACUAUGUACUGUAUAUAUGCCUAUCAUUUUAUGUAAGCUAUUAAUAUAGAUCUGAUUUGUUUAGAGUACUUUGAAUGUUGUGCAAAGUUUGACUAGCUACAGUAUGUAGUCAUUGUGAAUUCAUGAAUUUAUUGGGUUCUCCAACUGGGAGA
Long non-coding RNA from Megalobrama amblycephala (Wuchang bream), 964 nucleotides. RefSeq lists it as uncharacterized. The transcript has 5 exons. The record is from RefSeq and is a predicted model, not a curated record. NCBI's taxonomy places the organism in Eukaryota, Metazoa, Chordata, Actinopteri, Cypriniformes, Xenocyprididae.